Zalophus californianus (California sea lion) is the source of this 733-nucleotide long non-coding RNA. RefSeq lists it as uncharacterized. Lineage: Eukaryota; Metazoa; Chordata; Mammalia; Carnivora; Otariidae. The transcript is spliced from 5 exons. The record is from RefSeq and is a predicted model, not a curated record.
CCGGAAGUGGGGUCCCGCGAAGACCCCCAACAGCUCCACGCUGAUGAGCAAACCGGUGUCGGUACCCACAGAGCCAGCUGAACUCACUGCUUUCUUGCCCACCCUGGAGUUUGAGGGUACGGUGAGAUGUGGAGAGGAAUUUGGCCAGAGAAGUAGAAGAUUUGGUUUGGAUCCUUGUUCUGGUCGGACAAAGCUGUGGGACCUUGAGCUACUCACUUUCCUUCUCUGGGCCUCAUGUAACAAAUAAAGAGGGAAGCUGAGGCUCAGAGAGGUAAGGCAACUCACCCAAGAGCACACAGCCAAGAAGUGGCAGAGUGGGAUUCAAAACCAGAACAAGAAACUAAGGCUUACCUAUGAUGACCCCAAUUUGGUCUGUCCCCAAAGUUCAAGCCGUUUCUGCCUCUUCCAUCCUGUCUGGACAGAGUGGGCAGCAAACAGAGUUUUCCAGAAAAUCAGAGCUUGUGAACUUGGCUGACUGCAUCGGAGUGGUGGUGUUCACACAUUCCUCUGUCUUCUGAAUUUCCUGGAAACCGGUUGUUGAGCAGAGCUGCGCUGUUCGGGACAGUAGCCUCCAGCCGCGUGUGGCUACGGGGCCCUUGGAACGCGGCUCGUCCGAGCCGAGAUGUGCUGUACACGUACAACAUACACCAGAUGUCAAAGACAGAGCAUGAAAGAAGGAUGGAAACAAGUUCAUCGAUCGUUUUUUGUACUGAUUGUAUAUUGAGAUGAUAAU